GCUACCAGAACAGGUAUAGCGAGGGACAACUAUUGCCCGGGUCCUUCCGCUAUUACUUCUUGUUUGUUGCCUCUGCUCGUAGUUUAAGGACUGUGAUACGGAAUAUCUGGUGUAAUUCCUGGCCUUUCCAGUUUAUGUGGGUACUUGAUAAACGAAGAUAUUUGCAUCUUUGCACAUUGCUGUUCAGCCGCUGUUCUUUGUAGUUUUAAUUUCUAUGCUGCUAUUUUGUUUUUAGAUAUAUUGUGAUACUGACAUAUUUUGCUAAUCAGUUGUGUGUUUUUAACAGAACCCUUUCCCUGUGUCUACCAAGGUUUCUAUUGAGCUGGUUAGCUAAGUCUUUUUUUCUUUCUUGUUUUUACUGUGUAUUUGCCCUUUUUCUACAGAUGUCCAAAUACUCUGCACCAACCUAUACCUUUGAGGACUGGGGUAAUAGUACAUUGGAGCUUUAGACUAAGAUUUCAUAUAUUUGCUGUGUUUCCACUACUUGUGUGUGUAUAUGGCUUGGAUCUGCAGUGAUCUUUAAUAUUUGGUGUGUAAGGCUUUCACCCUUGUUUACCCAUUCACAGUGAUCUUAUUCCCUUUCGGGCAGGCUCCAUGUGUAUUUCCCCUAGUGGCCUGUCACGGUUACAGUUAUGCAUGAGGAUUGGGAUAGCCAGUAGGAGGUUGUUGUUUUUUGCUUUUUUUUUUUUUUUUUACAAAUAAAUGCUAUGUAUUGUUCUCCACUGAUUGUACUAAAA
Anguilla rostrata (American eel) is the source of this 737-nucleotide long non-coding RNA. RefSeq lists it as uncharacterized. The record is from RefSeq and is a predicted model, not a curated record. NCBI's taxonomy places the organism in Eukaryota, Metazoa, Chordata, Actinopteri, Anguilliformes, Anguillidae. The transcript has 3 exons.